UACGUAGGGUGCGAGCGUUAAUCGGAAUUACUGGGCGUAAAGCGUGCGCAGGCGGUUUUGUAAGCCAGGUGUGAAAUCCCCGGGCUCAACCUGGGAAUGGCAUUUGGGACUGCAAGGCUGGAGUGCGGCAGAGGAGACUGGAAUUCCUGGUGUAGCAGUGAAAUGCGUAGAUAUCAGGAGGAACACCGAUGGCGAAGGCAGGUCUCUGGGCUGACACUGACGCUCAUGCACGAAAGCGUGGGGAGC
RNAcentral lists this ribosomal RNA (246 nucleotides) under uncultured bacterium. RNAcentral's name for it is "partial 16S ribosomal RNA". It matches the Rfam family "Bacterial small subunit ribosomal RNA", at positions 524 to 769 of the family's 1533-position model. The record is from RNAcentral.